UACGGAGGGGGCUAGCGUUGUUCGGAAUUACUGGGCGUAGAGCGCACGUAGGCGGAUCAGCAAGUUAGGGGUGAAAUCCCGGGGCUCAACCCCGGAACUGCCUUUAAAACUGUUGGUCUGGAGGUCGAGAGAGGUGAGUGGAAUUCCGAGUGUAGAGGUGAAAUUCGUAGAUAUUCGGAGGAACACCAGUGGCGAAGGCGGCUCACUGGCUCGAUACUGACGCUGAGGUGCGAAAGCGUGGGGAGCAAACAGG
This 253-nucleotide ribosomal RNA is filed under the name uncultured bacterium. RNAcentral's name for it is "partial 16S ribosomal RNA". It matches the Rfam family "Bacterial small subunit ribosomal RNA", at positions 524 to 776 of the family's 1533-position model. The record is from RNAcentral.